Molecule: ribosomal RNA, 249 nt
Filed under: uncultured soil bacterium
Lineage: Bacteria
Description: partial 16S ribosomal RNA
Rfam family: Bacterial small subunit ribosomal RNA
Source: RNAcentral
AGAUUGAACGCUGGCGGCAGGCCUAACACAUGCAAGUCGAGCGGUAGAGAGGUGCUUGCAUCUCUUGAGAGCGGCGGACGGGUGAGUCAUGCCUAGGAAUCUGCCUAGUGGUGGGGGAUAACGUUCGGAAACGGACGCUAAUACCGCAUACGUCCUACGGGAGAAAGCGGGGGACCUUCGGGGCCUCGCGCCAUUAGAUGAGCCUAGGUCGAUUAGCUAGUGGUGAGGUAAUGGCUCACCAAGGCGACG